This 80-nucleotide transfer RNA is filed under the name Blumeria hordei DH14. RNAcentral describes it as "tRNA-Pro for anticodon UGG". It matches the Rfam family "tRNA". From Rfam's summary of the family: Transfer RNA (tRNA) molecules are approximately 80 nucleotides in length. The record is from Rfam by way of RNAcentral. Lineage: Eukaryota; Fungi; Ascomycota; Leotiomycetes; Helotiales; Erysiphaceae.
GGCCUGAUAGUUCAGUGGUAGAAUUCUUGCUUUGGGUAGACGAAUGUAAGAGGUCUCCGGUUCGAUCCCGGAUUAGGCCC